AACGUAGGAGGCGAGCGUUAUCCGGAGUUACUGGGCGUAAAGCGCACGUAGGCGGAUUUGUUAGUCAGGGGUGAAAUCCCGGGGCUCAACCUCGGAACUGCCUUUGAUACUGCAAAUCUCGAGUCCGAUAGAGGUGGGUGGAAUUCCUAGUGUAGAGGUGAAAUUCGUAGAUAUUAGGAAGAACACCGGUGGCGAAGGCGGCCCACUGGAUCGGUACUGACGCUGAGGUGCGAAAGCGUGGGGAGCAAACAGG
This 253-nucleotide ribosomal RNA is filed under the name uncultured bacterium. RNAcentral describes it as "partial 16S ribosomal RNA". It matches the Rfam family "Bacterial small subunit ribosomal RNA", at positions 524 to 776 of the family's 1533-position model. The record is from RNAcentral.